UACGUAGGGUGCGAGCGUUGUCCGGAUUUAUUGGGCGUAAAGAGCCCGUAGGCGGCUUGUCGCGUCGGAUGUGAAAGCCCCGGGGCUUAACUCCGGGUCUGCAUUCGAUACGGGCAGGCUAGAGUGUGGUAGGGGAGAUCGGAAUUCCUGGUGUAGCGGUGAAAUGCGCAGAUAUCAGGAGGAACACCGGUGGCGAAGGCGGAUCUCUGGGCCAUUACUGACGCUGAGGAGCGAAAGCGUGGGGAGCGAACAGG
RNAcentral lists this ribosomal RNA (254 nucleotides) under uncultured bacterium. RNAcentral's name for it is "partial 16S ribosomal RNA". It matches the Rfam family "Bacterial small subunit ribosomal RNA", at positions 524 to 776 of the family's 1533-position model. The record is from RNAcentral.